UACAGAGGUCUCAAGCGUUGUUCGGAUUCAUUGGGCAUAAAGGGUGCGUAGGUGGCGCGCUAAGUCAGGUGUGAAAUUUCGGAGCUUAACUCCGAAACUGCAUUUGAUACUGGCGUGCUUGAGGACUGGAGAGGAGACUGGAAUUCAUGGUGUAGCAGUGAAAUGCGUAGAGAUCAUGAGGAAGACCAGUGGCGAAGGCGGGUCUCUGGACAGUUCCUGACACUGAGGCACGAAGGCCAGGGGAGCAAACGGG
RNAcentral lists this ribosomal RNA (253 nucleotides) under uncultured bacterium. RNAcentral describes it as "partial 16S ribosomal RNA". It matches the Rfam family "Bacterial small subunit ribosomal RNA", at positions 524 to 776 of the family's 1533-position model. The record is from RNAcentral.